UACGAAGGGGGCUAGCGUUGUUCGGAAUUACUGGGCGUAAAGCGAGCGCAGGCGGUUAUGUAAGACAGAUGUGAAAUCCCAGGGCUUAACCUUGGAACUGCAUUUGUGACUGCAUGGCUAGAGUGUGUCAGAGGGGGGUGGAACUCCACGUGUAGCAGUGAAAUGCGUAGAGAUGUGGAAGAACACCGAUGGCGAAGGCAGCCCCCUGGGAUAACACUGACGCUCAGGCUCGAAAGCGUGGGGAGCAAACAGG
RNAcentral lists this ribosomal RNA (253 nucleotides) under uncultured bacterium. RNAcentral's name for it is "partial 16S ribosomal RNA". It matches the Rfam family "Bacterial small subunit ribosomal RNA", at positions 524 to 776 of the family's 1533-position model. The record is from RNAcentral.